CAGGGAGACAACAAAAUGUUUAAUAUUAUUAUUUUGUCACCUUAGGUCGAUCGGUAUCUCACGUUUUUAAUUUAUUAAGAAUUUCAUUUCCUAAGUUUUUCUAGGUCACACCCAUUAUUUUUCCUGGGCCAUUAGCUCAGGUGGUUAGAGCGCACCCCUGAUAAGGGUGAGGUCCCUGGUUCAAGUCCAGGAUGGCCCAUAUCUCUAUGUUGGGGGUAUAGCUCAGUUGGUAGAGCGCCUGCUUUGCAAGCAGGAUGUCAGCGGUUCGAGUCCGCUUACCUCCACUGAUUACCACCUCUUCCAUAACCGGUAGAAAGGAAAUGUUUUGAGUUGUGAUCAAAUCCUGAAAGAAUCUAGCUUCCUAAUGAAAUCAUUAAGAUGCUGGACUCAUUGAAUUAACUUCAUUGUUUUCAGAGAACCUUGACAACUGCAUAGAUUAUUUUUAAAGACAAUAAGCAUCUUUAAUGAUGCAGAUUUAUUAUUUGUGCGAAUGCAUUAAUAACAAUUCUAUUAAGCUGAUGCUUCAAUUUUUGAAGUUAUU
Molecule: transfer RNA, 541 nt
Filed under: uncultured Prochlorococcus sp.
Lineage: Bacteria; Bacillati; Cyanobacteriota; Cyanophyceae; Synechococcales; Prochlorococcaceae
Description: partial 16S-23S ribosomal RNA intergenic spacer
Rfam family: tRNA (bases 212-284)
Source: RNAcentral